CGCAAAGCUUCUGAAAACAGGACUUUUUCUCCAGAAAUGAUAGCGAAAGUAAAAAAAAAAAAACAAUUAUACAUUUUCUCCAGUCAAUAUCAUUGUGUAAUUUUGCGACUAAAUUAACACUUCAAAAUUCCAAAUUGUGUAAUAUUAGCAGCACAUGUAUGAAUAAGCACAAGAGUCAUAAUUUCCUGAGCCCUCCUUGUAAUUAUUAAAACAAAAAUAAAGUACAAAAUAUAUAUAAUAAUAAUAAAUGAAUAAACCUAUAUGGCACAUAUUCAAGUAGAUUGUAUUGUUUGAACUAUCAACUAAUUUUUAUUGUUAAAAACGUUCACUAAGAAAAAAAGGUACAAACUGCCAUUUGGGCGAUAAUUAUCUUUUCAAAAGCUACUGUUACAACCCACGUGGCUUAAAGCAGUGUGACAGUUAACUGGGAAGCCCUGGAAAAAGGAGCUUCUUUUUAUCCAUUUGUUGAUCACCAUAAUCCAUGGCACCUGUCAACUCCUCCCUGCAAAUGUACAACAAGACACACACAAAACAGGACAAGAGCACCACCUAACGAAAGUCAAAUACACUUACAGGAGCAGGAGCCACGCCAGGCCGUAACAACAUGUAUAUUUAAAACACAACUAUGUGCAAUUUAGGGGCAAAUUAUGCAAAAAGACAUAGAUUUUAGCUUGUGUGCUUUUUGACAUGUUUCACCUUUUUUUCUGAGAGUGUAUCAUAAAAAUCAUUCGCAAUAAAGUAGCCAAGAACUUUUUUUUUCGUUGUGUUUUUUGCCCCUCAGGGAAAUCAGGAAGUGGCCUUAGAUGAACUUAAAAUUGCUGUUUUGGUUGGUUUGCACUGCAGUAUGCAGUCUGCAGUUUGGCUGAUGAAUGGUCGGAUGCAAAACAGGAAAUAGUCUCACCCGGUCAAAGGCUGCCUUUGGCCUUUGGCAUUUAUUCAGUGUGAUGUUAGGGCAAGGGUGUGUUUAGUGUUACUCGAGUGUGCACGAGUAAAAUAAAUAAAUACAAUUCUAUGUCGCUUUUUAGAGCACACCAUAUAUUCAGGCAAUUUAAAUAUUAAAUAUGUACUCAAUUAUUAAUAAACUAAAUUAAAAGAACAUUCAAUCAAAAAUAAACUCUAAAUUAAUUUCAGUAAAAUAAAUGUAUUUGAUCAUGGUAUAAUCUCAAAAUCCAAAUCAAAUCUCAAAUUAAAGUCGGGUUUUUUUUUUUUUUUUUUUUUUUUUACUGUGGAAAGAAAUCAUAUUGAUAACCAACAGUUAUUUUCAAAAGACUUUAAAAGCAGAAGGGGCUUUCUACGUCAAACGAUAAACUAAUAUGAAAAUAAAUUCAUUGGCGCCAUCUAGUGACCGACUGUACAAACAAGUCCUUUUAAUAAAGCCCUAACCAUAUUUUAAAUCAAUCAAAAGGUUUCAAUACGCACGUCUUUUCACAUAUUUCCAUACUAAAUUUAACAAAGUGGAUUUUAAACUCUAAAACAGGGAUCUCCUGCAGAGUUUAGCUCCAACACACCUGCCUGGAAGUUUCAUGUAUACCUAGUAAGACCUUGAUUAGCUGGUUCAGGUGUGUUUAUCAUGGUUGGAGCAAAACUCUGCAGGACAGUGACCCUCCAGGCCCGAGUCUGGUGACCCCUGCUUUAAAGGGAUGGUUUACCUGGAAUCAUGUCAUGAUUUACUGAUGUCGGUCCAAAGAUGCAUUACUUGCUUUCAUCUGUGAAACAAAAAAGAGGAUAUUAUUAUAUAUUUCUGAGCCAAUGGUUGGAUUCAGCAAGAAAAAAAACAGCAUAAUUCAUAGCAUCCAAUUAAACUGUUGGAAUGGGAAAGGUAUCACCCAUUGUUCCUAAUUCUAAGCAUCCUAAACCUGAAAUGAUAAUGAUGAACUGAUAACAAAAACAAAAUACAGUAGUGCUCUGGCUAUUGUUAAUCUACUGACAAAUAAGACGAAAAAGAAAAAAAAAAUCACAUCAGAAUCAUCAGACAAUGCAGUUUAGCUGUACAGUGCUUUCAUGUGACACAGGCAUGUCAUUGUCACAUCACAGAUUUCCUGUUACCACCGAACAACCUGUUGCAUAGAAAUACGAAAAAGUCUAUAUCUUUAAAAUGAUUAUUAUUAUAUCUGCAUGCAAAUAUAUGCAAAGGUUUAACCUUUGGCCACCACAGACUUUGCAUGAAAAAGAAUGUCUGUAAGUUCCAGGUGAGGCCUUCAUCCUUUCUGAAUAUGUACGGCACAGGAAGUGAGACCAUAACAGAUGUGUGAAAAAACUCUCGCUGUCUGACAUGUAAAUAGUUUCAGGUUUUGAUAGGAACUACAAUACUGCAGGAAGCCGCUGAUCUCUGAGCAGCUCUGAGGUAAGUCAGGCGAGACCAAUCUAAAUGAUAAAUAAAACUGGAUAGUGAUCGUACCCACCCAAAAUAACAAUACAGGACUGGCAAGUAGCAUUUCAGCAUUUCUGGGGAAAUGUUCAUCACAUUAAAUAGACAAGUUUUUUUGAAAAACUGGGAGUUAAAUGAUGCUGUAUCUAAUAAGCAACAGAAAAUGGCAUUUGAUCCCUCGCUCAUGUAAAAGAUCAUUGUUUUUUUUACAUUUAUAGACAGAGAUAUGCUAUUCCAUGAUGUCGUAUUUGCUGCGGUCUUCUUUGCUUUUUACUCCUCAGGGAAGUCUCACACUCAAAACUGGGUAAAGCAGUGGCCAGGUGAGGUUUACAGGACACCCGGAGAAAACAUCACCAUUCACUGCCAGACGCAAGGAGACAUCCAGGAGGCUAGGUGUUUAGUAAACUGGUACAUCAAGAACAGACAUGGGAAAUAUGUCAGCAUCAACAAACUCACUCAGUUUAGCGGGAGACAUUCUGAAGACAAAAAAGAAAGCCACUGGCGCCAGAGCUUUACUCUGACGUCCCUAGAGUUCAACGACACUGGCAGAUUCUACUGUAAUUACUUGUGCAGAAUUAAUGGCACACAUGAGCAAUACUAUGGGACUGGGACUCGACUUUUUGUACAUUUGAGGACUGAAAAUGUGACUAAAGGCAGCCCACUGAGUACCUUCAAUAAGACAGGUGAAGUGGAGAGUGAAUCCAGAGUAUACUUGUUUUUCCUUUUUCUUGUUUUAAUUGUUUUAUUGUCUAAAUUUGUUGUAUUUAUAUUUAUGACGUCGGUUGCACUUUUUUCUCCUCAUUAAAUGUAACCCCUUCUGUUU
Molecule: long non-coding RNA, 3191 nt
Organism: Carassius gibelio (silver crucian carp)
Lineage: Eukaryota; Metazoa; Chordata; Actinopteri; Cypriniformes; Cyprinidae
Exons: 3
Source: RefSeq, a predicted model, not a curated record